AGAGCGAACGCUGGCGGCAGGCCUAAUACAUGCAAGUCGAACGGACCCUUCGGGGUUAGCGGCGCACGGGUGCGUAACGCGUGGGAACCUGCCUUGAGGUUCGGAAUAACUUCCCGAAAGGGAUGCUAAUACCGAAUAAUGUCUUCGGACCAAAGAUUUAUCGCCUUUAGAUGGGCCCGCGUUGGAUUAGCUAGUUGGUGGGGUAAAGGCCUACCAAGGCGACGAUCCAUAGCUGGUCUGAGAGGAUGAUCAGCCACACUGGGACUGAGACACGGCCCAGACUCCUACGGGAGGCAGCAGUGGGGAAUAUUGGACAAUGGGCGAAAGCCUGAUCCAGCCAUGCCGCGUGAGUGAAGAAGGCCUUAGGGUUGUAAAGCUCUUUCAGCGGGGAAGAUAAUGACGGUACCCGCAGAAGAAGUCCCGGCUAACUUCGUGCCAGCAGCCGC
RNAcentral lists this ribosomal RNA (446 nucleotides) under uncultured bacterium. RNAcentral describes it as "SSU rRNA". It matches the Rfam family "Bacterial small subunit ribosomal RNA", at positions 26 to 518 of the family's 1533-position model. The record is from RNAcentral.